This 1419-nucleotide ribosomal RNA is filed under the name uncultured bacterium. RNAcentral describes it as "16S ribosomal RNA". It matches the Rfam family "Bacterial small subunit ribosomal RNA". The record is from RNAcentral.
AGAGUUUGAUCCUGGCUCAGGACGAACGCUGGCGGCGUGCCUAAUACAUGCAAGUCGAACGCUUCUUUUUCCACCGGAGCUUGCUCCACCGGAAAAAGAGGAGUGGCGAACGGGUGAGUAACACGUGGGUAACCUGCCCAUCAGAAGGGGAUAACACUUGGAAACAGGUGCUAAUACCGUAUAACAAUCGAAACCGCAUGGUUUUGAUUUGAAAGGCGCUUUCGGGUGUCGCUGAUGGAUGGACCCGCGGUGCAUUAGCUAGUUGGUGAGGUAACGGCUCACCAAGGCGACGAUGCAUAGCCGACCUGAGAGGGUGAUCGGCCACAUUGGGACUGAGACACGGCCCAAACUCCUACGGGAGGCAGCAGUAGGGAAUCUUCGGCAAUGGACGAAAGUCUGACCGAGCAACGCCGCGUGAGUGAAGAAGGUUUUCGGAUCGUAAAACUCUGUUGUUAGAGAAGAACAAGGAUGAGAGUAACUGUUCAUCCCUUGACGGUAUCUAACCAGAAAGCCACGGCUAACUACGUGCCAGCAGCCGCGGUAAUACGUAGGUGGCAAGCGUUGUCCGGAUUUAUUGGGCGUAAAGCGAGCGCAGGCGGUUUCUUAAGUCUGAUGUGAAAGCCCCCGGCUCAACCGGGGAGGGUCAUUGGAAACUGGGAGACUUGAGUGCAGAAGAGGAGAGUGGAAUUCCAUGUGUAGCGGUGAAAUGCGUAGAUAUAUGGAGGAACACCAGUGGCGAAGGCGGCUCUCUGGUCUGUAACUGACGCUGAGGCUCGAAAGCGUGGGGAGCAAACAGGAUUAGAUACCCUGGUAGUCCACGCCGUAAACGAUGAGUGCUAAGUGUUGGAGGGUUUCCGCCCUUCAGUGCUGCAGCUAACGCAUUAAGCACUCCGCCUGGGGAGUACGACCGCAAGGUUGAAACUCAAAGGAAUUGACGGGGGCCCGCACAAGCGGUGGAGCAUGUGGUUUAAUUCGAAGCAACGCGAAGAACCUUACCAGGUCUUGACAUCCUUUGACCACUCUAGAGAUAGAGCUUCCCCUUCGGGGGCAAAGUGACAGGUGGUGCAUGGUUGUCGUCAGCUCGUGUCGUGAGAUGUUGGGUUAAGUCCCGCAACGAGCGCAACCCUUAUUGUUAGUUGCCAUCAUUUAGUUGGGCACUCUAGCAAGACUGCCGGUGACAAACCGGAGGAAGGUGGGGAUGACGUCAAAUCAUCAUGCCCCUUAUGACCUGGGCUACACACGUGCUACAAUGGGAAGUACAACGAGUCGCAAAGUCGCGAGGCUAAGCUAAUCUCUUAAAGCUUCUCUCAGUUCGGAUUGUAGGCUGCAACUCGCCUACAUGAAGCCGGAAUCGCUAGUAAUCGCGGAUCAGCACGCCGCGGUGAAUACGUUCCCGGGCCUUGCACUCACCGCCCGUCA